RNAcentral lists this ribosomal RNA (393 nucleotides) under uncultured bacterium. Its description in RNAcentral is "bacterial SSU rRNA". It matches the Rfam family "Bacterial small subunit ribosomal RNA", at positions 29 to 422 of the family's 1533-position model. The record is from RNAcentral.
AUUGAACGCUGGCGGAAUGCUUUACACAUGCAAGUCGAACGGCAGCACGGGGCAACCUGGUGGCGAGUGGCGAACGGGUGAGUAAUACAUCGGAACGUGCCCAAUCGUGGGGGAUAACGUAGCGAAAGUUACGCUAAUACCGCAUACGAUCUACGGAUGAAAGCGGGGGGAUCGCAAGACCUCGCGCGAACGGAGCGGCCGAUGUCAGAUUAGGUAGUUGGUGGGGGUAAAGGCUCACCAAGCCAACGAUCUGUAGCUGGUCUGAGAGGACGACCAGCCACACUGGAACUGAGACACGGUCCAGACUCCUACGGGAGGCAGCAGUGGGGAAUUUUGGACAAUGGGGGGCAACCCUGAUCCAGCCAUUCCGCGUGAGUGAAGAAGGCCUGGUGU